Molecule: long non-coding RNA, 318 nt
Filed under: Salmo salar (Atlantic salmon)
Lineage: Eukaryota; Metazoa; Chordata; Actinopteri; Salmoniformes; Salmonidae
Description: lncRNA (ENSSSAG00000090019.1)
Source: RNAcentral
AUCCCCAUUUCCCUUUCCAACUGACUAGGUAUCCCCAUUUCCCUUUCCAACUGACUAGGUAUCCCCCCUUUCCCUUUCCAACUGACUAGGUAUCCCCCCUUUCCCUUUCCAACUGACUAGGUAUCCCCCCUUUCCCUUUCCAACUGACUAGGUAUCCCCCCUUUCCCUUUCCAACUGACUAGGUAUCCCCCCUUUCCAACUGACUAGGUAUCCCCCUUUCCCUUUCCAACUGACUAGGUAUCCCCCCUUUCCCUUUCCAACUGACUAGGUAUCCCCCUUUCCCUUUCCAACUGACUAGGUAUCCCCCCUUUCCCUUUA